RNAcentral lists this long non-coding RNA (4822 nucleotides) under Meleagris gallopavo (turkey). RNAcentral's name for it is "lncRNA (ENSMGAG00000022231.1)". The record is from RNAcentral. Lineage: Eukaryota; Metazoa; Chordata; Aves; Galliformes; Phasianidae.
GAUCCUGCACUAAUCUGCCUGGUAUCACUGCCUCCUGCACAAUGCUUUCACAAUGCGGACACAGAGCAGCUCCUGUGGUGGGCACAGGAGCCAACCAUGCAAGAAAUGAAAAGCAAAGACUGUACAGUAUGUUACUGUUACUGAAUGCAAAUGCAGCACGGAUGUUAGCAACACAAAACUAAAUCAGUCUGGCAAGAGGAAAGCCAGCCCUGGACUUGCAUCAGCGGCGCUGAUCUGUGGGUUCCAAGUGUGGCAUCACUGCAGAGCAGGUUGGACGAGGCUCCCUGACCUCCUCUACUUGGCAGGCUUUCUUUUGCAUUUUUGGCUGAGAGACAAACUAAACUGCCCUCCCCAGGCCCUCCAACUGGUCCCAGUACAUCCCGGUGCAGGUGUGCUGGCGGGCAAGGUGAGGAGAGAUUUAAUCACUCCAGCAUAUGGGGGGAACUUAACUCUCCAGAGGCAAUGGAGAAUCUGCUUUAAAUAUCAAGGAGCCUACAAACAUGAACACGUAAGAGCCAAAACAGGAACUGAUGCUCUUUUUCCAGUACAGCUGGCCAUCAAGAUGCCCAUCAUCUGCUCAUUGACUCUCAGCAUCCCAGACACCUCAGAGCUGUUUGUGAGUGUCCACAGAUGUCCGAUUGAUUUAUGGCUGAACGACUGAACAUGCAGCACUACGAGGGCUGGCUUUGCCCUGCUCUUGGCACUGACCAGCACAGCUAUGCCCAGCUCCAGUGAGUCAGCUCAGUGAGCGCUGAGCUCCCGCUGCUCGCCGGGACCACGGGACUCAAAGGCCACCAGCCCGGUUUCGGUGCCCUGGUUUUCUUUGCUCGCCCGGCGGUUCCGCCCCGCGCCCCACCCCGCAGCGGCGUUAAUGAUGGGGUAGGGAUUGCUCUGGGCAGGCAGGAGGUGUGGGUCACUCUGUCGGGGCAGUGAGCUGCGGUCAGUGGGACGCCGUGACACACUGCCCCGAGCUGCAGCCAUCGGGGCUGGGCUGUGCUGCUGGGAGUCCAGGGAUGGCCGGGGGAAGGUGCCCUCAGAGAGCUAGGCAGCAGGUGAUUGGGAUCAGUUUCCCAGUGAUAAGAUUGUUUUCUUCUCCCAAACUCUGGGCCUGGCUCUCUGCAGUUGGGUGCAGCGCUGCCCAGCUCUGUGGCCAGCCCCAGCCCUUCCCCGGCCCAGGGAUCACUGCCAAAGCCCAGCACAGGGCAACCACUGAGCUCCUCUUUCCCUUUUGAAAGCUUAUAUAAAAAUGAUGAUAAGCUAAAUCUAGAUCUAUGCAGCAAUUAUGUGGGAUGCCAGACCUUGCACCUGUAGCAUAAUACAUAACAGAGCCAGCUAACUGCCUUGUCUAAUGAUUGCUCUGAACAGCAUACAAAUCACAUUAUGGGGGGUGAGCUGAGAGCCAUUUUUCAGCUGAAGCUGAUGAGCUUGCAGAGACUUUCUUUGCUCCGUUCUCCCAGACUGCAGGUUUGUCCUCUUCUCCCUGGAAUCCUUCCUGUUAUUUUUCUACCUUCCUGUCACAGGAUGCAACGUUCAUUACAAUAAUAGAUCAAACUUUGAGUGGAAAAACUCUGCUUUACGGUUGUCUUUAGGAUUUCCCAGUUUCAUUUCCUGCAACCCAUAAUGAGCAGGUGGAGUGUUUUCACAGGAUGCUUGGGUGGGCAAGAGAUGCCUAUGAACGUUAUCCCACCCUAACCUCUCAGCUGUCACCUUGAGGUGGGAUAGGCCAUCUCCUGAGGAACCUUAAGCUAGGAGCUUGGAUAACUGGAGAAGACCGGCUCCUGAAUACCAGUCAGGCAAUGGCAGAAGAUGACUCCCGCUUUCAUGAUGGAGAAGACAACUCCCACUCUCUCUGGGAACUUAAAAUGUCCGUCUUGAUUUCUUAACCUGGAAUGUGCUUUGGAAACCCUGUCUGGAGAGUCUGCUUUGUCUCUCUGCACCUAAAUACUUUUGAAGCGUGGUCAGAGAUGUUCCCAACGUGUGCUCUGGUUUCUCUGGUGAGAGACACAGGAGGAAGUUUUGAGGUGGAAGAGCAGCAUUGGUGUCAAUUUGUUUGGAAGGAUUUUUGUGGACUGGACUUCUGUGGGUUUGCCUGCUUCCUGUUACUCUUAUGUUAUCAGCAUGAAAAUAUUAAAUUAUGUGACCAAUAUAGCCAGUAAGACUGGCCACAGCUAUUAUAUAACGUCUGGUUGCUGUAAACAUCUCCAUGAUCGUUUCUUUGAUUGCAGUGCAAACGUAUCCUGUGCACAAUAUGUGGGUUACCAGGUAGAUUUAUGUCAUGACUCAGGAUGAGCCAAUAUCAUAAGCAAAUGUUAAUGAAGGGUGGGAUUUUCAUUAGUUUCUCUGUAUUGACCUAUUUCACUUCCUAUCCAAGGCAGCAGCUAAAGAGAGCUGGCCUAAAUGGAUCGGUGUUCUGCAGCCCAGAAUCGUGAUCCAGGGCUGGAGAGAGCCCCGUUCUCCCUAGGGUGCUGUUCUCAUCUGACAUUAUGACAAAUAGUCCUAGGCUCCUUCUGUAUUAAAAAUAAAAGCCUUGAACUUGCAUAUUUCCUUAUGGAAAAAAUAGCUAUCUUGGGAUCCUGCUUAUACAACUGGAACAACUUUUGUUCUCCACCCCACCUAAAGACAAGCAAAAGGCUUUUAUGUUCUCUAAGUUAUUAAUGAGCGGGGCUUCCUCUGCUGAGAGGAUGUUUGGAGCACUGCUAAAAUCUCUGCUCAGGUCCCUCAAACUGGGACAAGUGAUCUUACAUCACCUUCCUGAGCUAAUUGCCAGCCAUUAAAAGACACAUUUUUAGUAACACCUUUUGCCAAAUUAUCCUCUGCCUUUGCCUGCUUCAUCAUAGCACUUUUUUACAGGUAAACAGCUCUCUGCUCUCUAAGGAGUAGAAUUAAGUGGCUUUAUGACAUUUUAAAAAGGGAGAGACAUUAAUUUGUGCUCCCUGUUCUACCUUCCAUUUAAAAAAGGAAAAUAACUGGGCAGUUUCUGGAGACUGGUGCCCAGAAGGAGAUAGUGUGAGAUGAUCUAACCCAUUAAAUCAAAGGAAAGUUGGACAAAGGAGUGACUUGCUCAGGGACAGAUAAAAAUUAUCCCAAACUGAAGGCAGACUCAGUAACAAAGCACUGGUCUGACAGCCAGUCCACCCUUUCUGCAAACAUUAUGCAGCAGGUAACAGAGCUAUGCUCAUGAAUCAUUGCCUUGUUUAUUUAAAAUAAAUAAAUAAAUAUCUGACAGCAGUGAUGGAGUGACUGAGCAGGCGUUCAGCUUGCCUGCUGCAUCCUGGGAAAGCCCUGCACAGCAGGGAGAGAGGAACAGCACCCACGGCCUGCAGUGCCACGCGAGCUCUGGCAGGUGGGUUUUUUAGGGUCGAAGGAGUUUCUGUGCAACUGAGAAGCAGAAGUGGUUUGGAUUUUCCUAUGUUGAAGCCUUCCUGUCUCUAUUCUCAUUUCAUGUGUAAUUAAGGGAUUUUUUAAAAGAAAGUACACCAGAGAAACCCUAACAACUGAGCCCUGCUGUGCAUAACACUGGGUCUACCUCAAGUGAUGCUGUGGAUGAAGAAACGUUUUUCCAUCUGCCUUUUCUCUGCUCACAUAGUAGUCUUUGUCCUUCUGCUUUGGCAUGUGGGCUAAGGGGAGCUCAAAGUGCCCCACGUAGCUUCCAGCCGGGGGGAAGUGUGGCUGUAUGCCAGCUGUGGGCUGCUUGGACGGGGUCACGGGGCUGCAGUGCGAGGGCUGAGCUGGCUGAGCUUGUUCUGCGAGAGGCGGAUGCUCACCGGGGUUUGCUGGAGGGUGAGGUAGAGCUUUGUAUUGUGAAUAUACUGGGAGUCCCAGCCUGCACCACCCUGCUUGUGGAGGAUGCUGGAUCCAUCUACACAGGCGUUACAAACUGCCACUAGCUUUAUCACCACAAACUCUUCACGGUGUGAUGCAAAGUCAUCUUGGUGAUAGCUCUGAAUACUCUUCAUGUUCACGUAUAACUAACUACUCCACCAUCCCUUUGAAUUCUCCACUGCUGUGUACAAGAUUUCUGCAGAGCAUCCUAGGUUGUAAAAGGCUUAAGACGGAAAUGGUCUUUCGGAUCAGUGUUUAUGCAGCACCUGGCUUCCUGCCAGUCUGGCCAAAGACUGGAAUCCCUUCAUAUUUCCACAUCAGAGAAAGGUUAAUCAUAACAACCUUCAGCCUCUCACAUGUCUAGGUGAUGAAUCCUUCCCACACCUCUGUAGGACCAGUGCAUGUAGAUCAGUCUUGGGGUGUGAUGCCACAGUGCCCCAGAAUUAAAAGUUCACAGGCUGAGAACUCUGAGAAACACUGCCCCUUUGCAUAGGUAGGAAAACUGAUAUACAGGGAGGGGAGAAGAUCACGUGCAUAUAACCAGCUGGAGCGAACUGCACUGAUCAGGCCUCUGUGCUCCAACCAGGUGUGUGGCUGCCCUGCAUCUCCCCAACAUGGUGUCAUAAUGAUGGCCAUGCCAUGCCAUCCCAACCCCAGCAAGCAGCCAGUGGCUUCAUCCCAGCACACUGCUCUUUUGCAAAGGAAGCAGCAGCACAGUCAGGAAGCAGCAGACGAGCCUGGUUAGUCUGCUGUGACAGAGGUCCACCCAACAGGGCCCGGCCCCAGGUGGGAACCUAGUGAUAAGUGCUUAGUGCUCACAUUGCCUGUCUGUAACUGCAGCCAGUAGCUCUUUGAAACAUACAACUUGCCAAAGUGGGUUAACAGGAACAGUGUAAUAGGAGGGAUUAAGUCUGGCUAUGAUCCUGCCAUCUGCUAUUUCCUACACCUCCUCCUGGUACAUGUCCUGGCACCAAGAGAAGCAGCACUGACCUGUGGAAGA